This 397-nucleotide ribosomal RNA is filed under the name uncultured bacterium. Its description in RNAcentral is "bacterial SSU rRNA". It matches the Rfam family "Bacterial small subunit ribosomal RNA", at positions 28 to 429 of the family's 1533-position model. The record is from RNAcentral.
GACGAACGCUGGCGGCGUGCUUAACACAUGCAAGUCGAGCGGUAAGGCCCCUUCGGGGGUACGACGAGCGGCGAACGGGUGAGUAACACGUGGGUGACCUGCCCUCAGCUCUGGGAUAAGCCUGGGAAACUGGGUCUAAUACCGGAUAUGACUCCAUGACGCAUGUCGUGGGGUGGAAAGCCUUGUGCGGCUGGGGAGUGGGCCCGCGGCCUAUCAGCUUGUUGGUGGGGUGAUGGCCUACCAAGGCGACGACGGGUAGCCGGCCUGAGAGGGCGACCGGCCACACUGGGACUGAGACACGGCCCAGACUCCUACGGGAGGCAGCAGUGGGGAAUCUUGCGCAAUGGGCGAAAGCCUGACGCAGCGACGCCGCGUGAGGGAUGACGGCCUGUGUAAC